This 200-nucleotide long non-coding RNA is filed under the name Panax ginseng (ginseng). RNAcentral's name for it is "long non-coding RNA (PGIN_LNC011585)". Lineage: Eukaryota; Viridiplantae; Streptophyta; Magnoliopsida; Apiales; Araliaceae. The record is from RNAcentral.
UUCAAUUGGACUUUCGAUCUUAAUUUAUGCUGCUAUUUGAUGUUCACCAGAUGGGCUUCGGUAAACCGUAUUUUGGUCCUUUAUUGGUCUUAUUAUAAUUCCUUUUGUCCUGAACCGAUGCCAUUUAUAGUUUCCUAUUAAACCUCCUGUUUAAUAAAAAAAUUAGGGGGCAAUGUUGGGUCGUGAUAUUUCUCCCUUUG